This 86-nucleotide non-coding RNA is filed under the name Tenderia electrophaga (SeqCode). RNAcentral's name for it is "Candidatus Tenderia electrophaga SAH (S-adenosyl-L-homocysteine) riboswitch aptamer". It matches the Rfam family "SAH (S-adenosyl-L-homocysteine) riboswitch aptamer". RNAcentral also lists the same sequence under 1 other name. The record is from Rfam by way of RNAcentral. Lineage: Bacteria; Pseudomonadati; Pseudomonadota; Gammaproteobacteria; Tenderiales (SeqCode); Tenderiaceae (SeqCode).
CUUUUCGAGGAGCGUUGCGACAGCUAUCCCAGCGGAUAUCUGCCAGGCUCGAAGAGAGGCUUCAUUAACAACGGCGCUCGGUUAAA